RNAcentral lists this microRNA (19 nucleotides) under Gallus gallus (chicken). Its description in RNAcentral is "gga-miR-12217-3p". Lineage: Eukaryota; Metazoa; Chordata; Aves; Galliformes; Phasianidae. The record is from miRBase by way of RNAcentral.
CCGGGCGGGGCGGGGAGGG